ACACGAGUGGCGCACGGGUGAGUAACGCGUGGGUAAUCUGCCGUCGGGUCUGGGACAACUCCGGGAAACUGGAGCUAAUACCGGAUGAGACCACGAGGCCUCCGGGCCUCGCGGAAAAAGGUGGCCUCUCCUUGGAAGCUACCGCCUGACGAUGAGCCCGCGUCCCAUUAGCUAGUUGGUGAGGUAACGGCUCACCAAGGCAACGAUGGGUAGCUGGUCUGAGAGGAUGACCAGCCACACUGGAACUGAGACACGGUCCAGACUCCUACGGGAGGCAGCAGUCGGGAAUCUUGGGCAAUGGGCGAAAGCCUGACCCAGCAACGCCGCGCGAGGGAUGAAGGCCUUCGGGUCGUAAACCUCUGUCGGGAGGGAAGAACGGUUUCCGUUCGAAUAGGGCGGGAGCCUGACGGUACCUCCAAAGGAAGCGCCGGCUAACUCCGUGCCAGCAGCCGCGGUAAUACGGAGGGCGCAAGCGUUGUUCGGAAUCAUUGGGCGUAAAGCGCGUGUAGGCGGCCUGGUAAGUCGGGUGUGAAAUCCCGGGGCCCAACCCCGGAACUGCAUUCGAUACUGCCUGGCUGGAGUCCCGGAGAGGAAGGCGGAAUUCCCGGUGUAGAGGUGAAAUUCGUAGAUAUCGCGAGGAACACCAGCGGCGAAGGCGGCCUUCUGGACUGUGACUGACGCUGAGACGCGAAAGCGUGGGGAGCAAACAGGAUUAGAUACCCUGGUAGUCCACGCCGUAAACGUUGGGUGCUAGGUGUCGCGGGUAUUGACCCCUGCG
RNAcentral lists this ribosomal RNA (778 nucleotides) under uncultured bacterium. Its description in RNAcentral is "bacterial SSU rRNA". It matches the Rfam family "Bacterial small subunit ribosomal RNA", at positions 89 to 842 of the family's 1533-position model. The record is from RNAcentral.